GACCUACGGGCGGCAGCAGGCGCGAAAACUUUACAAUGCGGGAAACCGUGAUAAGGGAAUCUCGAGUGCCAGCAUAUAAUGUUGGCUGUCCAGAUGCCUAAAAAGCAUCUGUUAGCAAGGGCCGGGCAAGACCGGUGCCAGCCGCCGCGGUAACACCGGCGGCCCGAGUGGUAACCGCUUUUAUUGGGUCGAAAGGGUCUGUAGCCGGCCAAGGAAGUCCCUUGGGAAAUCUGGCAGCUUAACUGUCAGGGUGCUAGGGGUUACGGCUAGGCGUGGGACCGGGAGAGGUGAGAGGGACCUUGGGGGUAGGGGUGAAAUCGUGUGAUCCUCGGGGGACCACCAGUGGCGAAGGCGUCUCACCAGAACGGGUCCGACGGUAAGGGACGAAAGCUAGGGGCACGAACCGGAUUAGAUACCCGUGUAGUCC
RNAcentral lists this ribosomal RNA (427 nucleotides) under uncultured Methanosaeta sp. RNAcentral describes it as "bacterial SSU rRNA". It matches the Rfam family "Archaeal small subunit ribosomal RNA", at positions 319 to 747 of the family's 1478-position model. Lineage: Archaea; Methanobacteriati; Methanobacteriota; Methanomicrobia; Methanotrichales; Methanotrichaceae. The record is from RNAcentral.